UCCACAGCAGCUCAGUGGUAGAGCUAUCGGCUGUUAACCGAUCGGUCGUAGGUUCGAGUCCUACCUGUGGAGCCA
This 75-nucleotide transfer RNA is filed under the name Staphylococcus aureus. RNAcentral's name for it is "tRNA-Asn". It matches the Rfam family "tRNA". From Rfam's summary of the family: Transfer RNA (tRNA) molecules are approximately 80 nucleotides in length. Their secondary structure includes four short double-helical elements and three loops (D, anti-codon, and T loops). Lineage: Bacteria; Bacillati; Bacillota; Bacilli; Caryophanales; Staphylococcaceae. The record is from RNAcentral.